AUGAACGCUGGCGGCGUGCCUCAUACAUGCAAGUCGAGCGAACGGACGAGAAGCUUGCUUCUCUGAUGUUAGCGGCGGACGGGUGAGUAACACGUGGAUAACCUACCUAUAAGACUGGGAUAACUUCGGGAAACCGGAGCUAAUACCGGAUAAUAUUUUGAACCGCAUGGUUCAAAAGUGAAAGACGGUCUUGCUGUCACUUAUAGAUGGAUCCGCGCUGCAUUAGCUAGUUGGUAAGGUAACGGCUUACCAAGGCAACGAUGCAUAGCCGACCUGAGAGGGUGAUCGGCCACCCUGGAACUGAGACCCGGUCCAGACCCCUACGGGAGGCAGCAGUAGGGAAUUUUCCGAAAUGGGCGAAAGCCGGACGGAGCAACGCCGCGUGAGUGAUGAAGGUCUUGGGAUCGUAAAACUCUUUUAUUAGGGAAAAAAAUAUGUGUAAGUAACUGGGCACAUUUUGACGGUACCUAAACAAAAAGCCACGGCUAACUACGU
RNAcentral lists this ribosomal RNA (495 nucleotides) under uncultured bacterium. RNAcentral's name for it is "partial 16S ribosomal RNA". It matches the Rfam family "Bacterial small subunit ribosomal RNA", at positions 29 to 506 of the family's 1533-position model. The record is from RNAcentral.